CCUGCGGAUGGAUCAUUUU
RNAcentral lists this unclassified non-coding RNA (19 nucleotides) under Dictyostelium discoideum. The record is from RNAcentral. Lineage: Eukaryota; Evosea; Eumycetozoa; Dictyosteliales; Dictyosteliaceae.